Molecule: long non-coding RNA, 396 nt
Filed under: Monodelphis domestica (gray short-tailed opossum)
Lineage: Eukaryota; Metazoa; Chordata; Mammalia; Didelphimorphia; Didelphidae
Description: lncRNA (ENSMODG00000041069.1)
Source: RNAcentral
AAUAAGUAACUGCAGUAAAUGUUUAUGUAGAACUUGAAGUUUUACAAACAAGAUGGAUUCGCUCAUUUGGUCCCUAUACAACAUGUCACCUGGAGGAAGGAUCUGUGUGUCACUGAAGGAGAAGAAUUCCCCAGUUCACACAGACCUAUGCACUGGGUCAACUCUUGGAGCUGUAAAGACAAAAUUGAAGCAGUCACUGUCCUCAAGGACUUCAUGGACUUCUGGAUUUUAUAGAUCUCUUGGACCCCAGGGAUCGUCCAGUUCAAUUCCAUACUGGCAGCAAGAAUUCCUCUGUAUAACGAAGCUCCUUCAGUGAAGGCAGGACCUUCCCAUUAUAUGGCAUCUGUAAAGAAUCUGACAAUCAAUAAAUCAAUCAGAAUUUACUAAAUCCCUCCA